UACGUAGGUGGCAAGCGUUGUCCGGAUUUACUGGGCGUAAAGGGCGUGCAGGCGGUUUGUUAAGUGCAGGGUGAAAGCCCCCGGCUCAACUGGGGAGGGUCACGCGAUACUGCUCGACUCGAAGGCAGGAGAGGGAAGUGGAAUUCCCGGUGUAGUGGUGAAAUGCGUAGAUAUCGGGAGGAACACCAGUGGCGAAGGCGACUUCCUGGCCUGUUCUUGACGCUGAGGCGCGAAAGCUAGGGUAGCAAACGGG
Molecule: ribosomal RNA, 253 nt
Filed under: uncultured bacterium
Lineage: Bacteria
Description: partial 16S ribosomal RNA
Rfam family: Bacterial small subunit ribosomal RNA
Source: RNAcentral